CUCGAUAGCCCUGGGAAUCGCGGGGGUAUCCCGCCCGGGGGUUGGCGGGGCCUCGGAGAGCAGCUACCGGAGACUGGGAAAUGCUCGGCGCAGGGUUUUCCCACCACUACCCCCCUCCAGGAUAGCUAGAGCUCACGCGGAGCUAAGGAAGCCUUUCUGAUGCUCCUGAGCCUCGACUAUCCCUCUCGCCCCGGCGCUCCCACUUCACCCGGCUUGCCACCACCGGCAAAGUGCCUCGCACACAGGAGCGCAGGUGCCUCUCCCCCCCCCCCCCCAUGGCCCAGUGUGGCCUCCACAAGCCAGUUUCCCAGACUCCAGGGAGCGACCUGCGCUCCAGAUUCCGCCCGACAGCACGUCCCACCCAGGUGUCCCCAGUCUCCACCCUCUUUCGUAUCUCUAGGCCCCUGGGAAGAUCCAGGAAUUCACCAAACACAAAUGGCAGCAGGCUGGUAAUCAGGCCUCACCCAAGGCUUGGCAGGUUCCCUCUAGCCCUUGUCUUGGAGAUGGAGCCACCAAGUGGAGAACUGGAGCCAGGACCCCGUGUCUAGCGCAUCUCCUCACGCCUUCUGUCCUGUCCUAGAUGUUUUUCUGGUUUUCCCAAGUGCCAGCCACUUCUCAGAUUCACGCAUCUUUGAGCGAAGAAAAUCCGGGUUCCCACCCCAGACACUUAAAAAUGUCAUUAUAGCUUUACCUCUUACAGGUGGCAGUAAAGGACCUCUUUAAAUAGCGGGUUAAACGGAUGCAGAUGUACACAAUGUACCGUGGAAUUACCGGGUGCUGGUCUGGCCUUCUGCCAAGAACAGCUACCGCGGCGGGUGGGAGGGGUGCAGCAGGAAGCGAAGAAAAGUUGUUCCAUUUGAUUUUCUGAACAAUGAAUGAGCUAGGAUUUCAGAGCACUUCCAAGGCCUGGGAGAGUCAGCGUCCUCAACUUCUUCCCCUCGCUUCUUAAAUGCCCCUCCCCUUAUUUUUUAAAGACACGAUCUCCUGUAGCCCACGGCCUCCAACUCACUGUGGAGGAUAAUCUUGAACUAAUGGUCCUUCCCCCAUCUCCCCAGCGCAGCAAUAACAAGCACUGGCCAGCAUGCUGAGUUCAUAUGACACUGAAGAAUCAAUUCAGGUUUUGCCACGCUAGCACAUACUCUACUAGCUGAGCUGCAUCCUUGGCCAUUAUGGUCCAGAGCAGGAGGCAGAGACCUAACUAAGGAAGGCCAGCUCUGUCUGAGGUCUCCAGGCUCAUUAGAGGAUCCCACCUACCAGUGUCUAAUGAAGGAGAGCUAUUGUCAUGCCUGUUGCACACACAGCGAUAUCAAGCUGCUGAAAGCUGCAGCAGCAGGUCCGGUGGUCACGUGGUGAAUUAGUAACUAACACAGGAAAAGGGGCCAGCGUUCUGGUCCUUCCAGUUUGGCUGCCUCUUUAAAUCCUCAAAUCCAGUUAUAGCCUGGGGCUGUGGGUGUGAACAGGUUCCAUUACUAGGGGAAAGGUCCCUCAUUUUCCCAAUCGUCUACUGCAAACCUGCUUUUUAAUUUCAGGGAUAAAGGCCUAGAAGGAGGUCGAAUACCACCCUGUCCCUCAAACACGCAAACGCGUUUGUUCUUUCAGAGUCUGGUAUUUCACAGCAACUGCUGAUGGAGCCUAUAUGAGCUGGAACUGCAGCUGCUGCAUUGAUGCCACAACAGGAAGUGAUCUCAGCCAGAGACAAUGCAAUCACAGGAAUCAAGUCUACUGUUCUCAAACUUGAGAAUGAGUCAGAAUCACCUGGAGGCGUUUGUUAAAGCAUACUGCAUGGGAGAAGAUACAGGCAGGAACAUCACAAGUUCAAGGUCAGCCUGGCCUACUUGGAACAACAAAACAACAGGACACAAUACCACAUGGGCUGGGGAGAGCUCAGUGGGUAAAGUCCUUCAAGCAGAUGUGAGGACUGGAGUUCAGAUUCCCAGUACCCACAAAAAUGUCAGGUGGGUGUGGUGACCCUCUGUAAACUCAGCACUUCGAAGGCAGAGAUUGUGUGGUUUGAAUAGGAAUGGUCCUCCGUAGAUGCAUGUGUUUGAAUGCUUGGUCAUAGUGAGUGGCACUAUUAGGAAGUGUGGCCUUGUUGGAGGAAGUGUAUCACUGAGGGGGCAGGCUUUGAGGUCUCCUAUGCUUCAGUUAUGUCCAGUAUGGCACACAGUCUCCUCCUGCUGCCUUCGGAUCAAAAUGUAGAACUCUCUGCUCCUUCAGCACCAUGUCUGCUUGCAUGCCGCCAUGUUUCCUGGCAUGAUGAUAAUGGACUGGACCUCUGGAACUGUAAGCCAGGGUCAAUUAAAUGUUUUCCUGUAUAAGAGUUGUGUGGUCAUGGUGUCUCUUCACAGCAAUAGAAACCCAAACUAAGAUAGAGAUGGUUCAGUGGGUUAAAUGUUAAUGAUCUUUUGCUGAGUUUGGAUGCUAAGGAUAAUCCAUGUAAGUUGAGGUUGGCUGUCUUCCUCUGAAGGAACCAGCUUCCUUUU
Cricetulus griseus (Chinese hamster) is the source of this 2483-nucleotide non-coding RNA. Lineage: Eukaryota; Metazoa; Chordata; Mammalia; Rodentia; Cricetidae. The record is from RefSeq and is a predicted model, not a curated record.